RNAcentral lists this ribosomal RNA (1226 nucleotides) under metagenome. RNAcentral's name for it is "bacterial LSU rRNA". It matches the Rfam family "Bacterial large subunit ribosomal RNA", at positions 1564 to 2800 of the family's 2925-position model. The record is from RNAcentral.
UGAGUACAAGAUGCUACGGCAUUGAAGCAGUCUAUGUCAUACUUCCAAGAAAAGCUUGCAAUGUCAUAAACAAAUAAUGCCUGUACCAUAACCGACACAGGUGGGUAGGUAGAGUAUACUAAGGGGCGCGAGAUAACUCUCUCUAAGGAACUCGGCAAAAUGACUCCGUAACUUCGGGAGAAGGAGUACCUUAUUUUAUAAGGUUGCAAUAACAAGGUCCAAGCAACUGUUUACCAAAAACACAGGUCUCCGCUAAGUCGUAAGACGAUGUAUGGGGGCUGACGCCUGCCCAGUGCCAGAAGGUUAAAGAAGUUGGUUAGCAUUAGCGAAGCUGAUAACUGAAGCCCUGGUGAACGGCGGCCGUAACAAUAACGGUCCUAAGGUAGCGAAAUUCCUUGUCGGGUAAGUUCCGACCCGCACGAAAGGCGUAAUGAUUUGGAUACUGUCUCGGAGAGGGGCUCGGUGAAAUAGACUUGUCUGUGAAGAUGCGGACUACCUGCACCUGGACAGAAAGACCCUAUGAAGCUUUACUGUAACUUGAGAUUGAAAUUGGACUUUAUUUGCGCAGUAUAGGUGGGAGACCUCGAAAGUAUUCUUGCGGGAAUAUUGGAGUCAUCAGUAGAUACCACUCUUAUAAUGUUAGAUUUCUAACUUUGUAUCAUUAUCUGGUCAAAGAACAGUUUCAGGCGGGCAGUUUGACUGGGGCGGUCGCCUCCCAAAUGGUAACGGAGGCGCACAAAGGUUUCCUCUGAACGUGUAGAAAUCGUAUCUAGAGUGUAAAGGCAUAAGGAAGCUUGACUGUGAGACCUACAAGUCGAGCAGGGACGAAAGUCGGUCUUAGUGAUCUGACGGUGCUGAGUGGAAAGGCCGUCACUCAACGGAUAAAAGUUACUCUAGGAUAACAGGCUGAUCUCCCCCAAGAGUUCACAUCGACGGGGAGGUUUGGCACCUUGAUGUCGGCUCAUCGCAUCCUGGGGCGGUAGUACGUCCCAAGGGUUGGGCUGUUCGCCCAUGAAAGCGGUACGCGAGCUGGGUUCAGAACGUCGUGAGACAGUUCGGUCCAUAUCCGGUGUAGGCGUUAGAAUAUUGAGAGGAGCCUUCUUUAGUACGAGAGGACCGAGAAGGACAUACCUCUGGUGUACCAGUUAUCGUGCCAACGGUAAACGCUGGGUAGCUAUGUAUGGAGAGGAUAACCGCUGAAAGCAUCUAAGUGGGAAGCCCACCUC